CAGCCGCCGCGGUAAUACGAAGGGUGCAAGCGUUAAUUGGAAUUACUGGGCGUAAAGCGUGCGUAGGCGGUUUGUUAAGUCUGCUGUGAAAUCCCCGGGCUCAACCUGGGAAUGGCAGUGGAUACUGGCAAGCUAGAGUGUGUCAGAGGAUGGUGGAAUUCCCGGUGUAGCGGUGAAAUGCGUAGAGAUCGGGAGGAACAUCAGUGGCGAAGGCGGCCAUCUGGGACAACACUGACGCUGAGGCACGAAAGCGUGGGGAGCAAACAGGAUUAGAUACCCCCGUAGUCCCUGUCUCUUAUAC
Molecule: ribosomal RNA, 301 nt
Filed under: uncultured bacterium
Lineage: Bacteria
Description: partial 16S ribosomal RNA
Rfam family: Bacterial small subunit ribosomal RNA
Source: RNAcentral